CGAUAAGUUUUCRAUAUCCGGGGRAAGUAUACUBGCAAAUGCGAAACUUAAAGGAAUUGACGGAAGGGCACCACCUAGGGGUGGGACUGCGGCUUAAUUUGACUCAACACGGGGAAACUCAUCCGGUCCGGACACCGKGAGGAUUGACAGACUUGAGAGCUCUUUCUUGAGUUUGGUGGGCAGUGGUGCAUGSCCGUUCUUAGUUGGUGGAGUGAUUUGUCUGGUUUAUUCCGAUAACGAACGAGACUCUGGCCUACUAACUAGUUGCGCGAUUUUUCUGUCGUGCCAACUUCUUAGAGGGACAAGCGGUGCUCAGCCGCAUGAAAAAGAGCAAUAACAGGUCUGUGAUGCCCUUCGAUGUUUCGGAGCCGCACGCGCGCUACACUGUGAGUGGCAGCAUGUUGGUUUGCCUCGCUCGCAAGDKUBBBSUAAUCGGUUGAAAACCUCACGUGAUUGGGAUAGGGAAUUGUAAUUAUUUCCCUUGAACGAG
RNAcentral lists this ribosomal RNA (490 nucleotides) under Diplolaimelloides environmental sample. RNAcentral describes it as "partial 18S ribosomal RNA". It matches the Rfam family "Eukaryotic small subunit ribosomal RNA", at positions 1109 to 1627 of the family's 1831-position model. Lineage: Eukaryota; Metazoa; Nematoda; Chromadorea; Monhysterida; Monhysteridae. The record is from RNAcentral.